Long non-coding RNA from Betta splendens (Siamese fighting fish), 779 nucleotides. RefSeq lists it as uncharacterized. The record is from RefSeq and is a predicted model, not a curated record. The transcript has 3 exons. NCBI's taxonomy places the organism in Eukaryota, Metazoa, Chordata, Actinopteri, Anabantiformes, Osphronemidae.
CAACCACUCGCCAGCUAGACCGAUCAGAUCUAAACCAGAGGACAGCUGGUUGAAGAAUCGAGGAUGGCCUGUAAGAACAAAGAGGUCAAAGGGCAAGAUAUGAAUAAGUUCAGAUGAAGACCCACAGCUACCAAGCCAAAAACACACUCACCUGAAUUGACACCAUACUUGAGUGUGUCUCUACAGUCCACUAGUAUCUGCUCCAAGGUUUCUGGUUGGUCUGUCAGCUGCAGAGUGAAGCCUUCCAGUCCCUCCUUGAGUUGAUGAGGAUGAUGGUAGUCCAGGACCUUCAAACAAGAACAGCUUGAUAUAACCAAGCAAGACAUUUAGAAGCUCCUGUAAAAAUUCUUUGGUCACCUCUUCACCGCCCGAAGCUGGGAGCAGGUCUGUUCACACAAAGACAAACAGUAGUUGCUUAACAUCGGAGGAAUGUUGUUGUUGUUAAUAAAGGACGCAUUGACCCAAGGUCGAUGUGGGCCGCUGUCUGCAAUAACAACAGGCAGUAACUGAACACAGACAGGACGGUUGGACCAGUAACUGCAGUAAUUGAUGAUGAUGAUAACUGUCAAUGUUACCAGGCACACAUUAACAAACCACAAAUCCAAGAAGAGGCACAAAGCUGUGAUUUUCCACUUGUCCAGGUUAAACCUAUCCUUGACCUGGUUCUUCAAAAGCUGAAUGAAGGAAUCUGAAUGAAGUGAAAAAGGAGCAGCUAGGUCAAGGCAGGUGUAGAUAAUUGUACCUGGUUCACAGUGUUGUUUAAACUGAACAUACAUGGA